RNAcentral lists this ribosomal RNA (777 nucleotides) under Triticum aestivum (bread wheat). Its description in RNAcentral is "partial small subunit ribosomal RNA". Lineage: Eukaryota; Viridiplantae; Streptophyta; Magnoliopsida; Poales; Poaceae. The record is from RNAcentral.
AUGUUGGACUGUGGAUUGACUGACUUGGGCUUUUCCGGUCCUAAGUUCACGUGGUGUAAUAGACAGGAUCCCAACAGUAAUGUCCGGUGUCACUUGGAUCGAGCUAUGGCGAACAGUGACUUUUCUAACUUGUUUGAGGCUUGCAAUGUGGAGAAUAUUAUUGCCACCACAUCUGACCACUAUCCGAUCCUUGUUCGGCUGCGGGCAGAUCUUCAUAUGCACCGUGCGAUCCCAGUGCAGCAAGGUUUCAGGUUUGAGGCAAUGUGGCUGCGGGCGGCUGAUUACCGUGAAACGCUCGAGCAGGCUUGGUCGGCUGGCAAAGAUGGCUUGUUGUCUUUGAGCUCGACUUGGACGAACCUCAAGGGGGUGGCUAGCUCUCUGCGCUCCUGGAGCAAGGAGGCUUUCGGUUCUGUUCGUAAGAAUAUUGGCAAGAUGGAACGUCGCCUUGCUACCAUUAGGGCGUCACCGCCCUCCCCGUCUUCGCUUGCUGAGGAGAAACACAUUGAGGGUCAGCUAUGCGAGUUGUUUGAGCGUGAAGAGGUUAUGGAGAGGCAGCGGUCUCGGGUGGACUGGCUCAAAGCCGGUGACCGUAACACGGAGUUUUUCCAAGCCCGUGCGACGGCCAGACGGAGAACAAAUAAAAUUCACUCUCUUCUUUGGGAUGAUGGCUCGGUCUGUUCUACUCAGAGUCAGAUAAAACAGUUGGUGUAGUCCUACUAUGAGCAGCUCUUCACGUCCAAACCACGCACGUCUGCUGAUGAGCUUCUGCAGGCGAUC